AAGGGGAGAUCGAGCGGCAGCGGUUCAAGGCCGAGCAAAGGGCUUGUCUUGAUCCGUUAAGAUUGAGGAGAGCUUAGUGACAUCCGGCGUGGGACUUUCCAGUGAAAAUUGUUCUCUGACCUGAAUCAGGAAUUUGCCUUGAUGGUCCAAAGAUUAAGGUUGACCUCCAACUCCUGGCUCAAGUGAUCCUCCAACCUCACCUCCAGAGUAAUUGGGGUACAGGUGUGAGGCAAUGUGCCUGGCUUGGAAUUGUUUUCUUAACUUCAUUUUCACAUUG
Otolemur garnettii (small-eared galago) is the source of this 277-nucleotide long non-coding RNA. RefSeq lists it as uncharacterized. Lineage: Eukaryota; Metazoa; Chordata; Mammalia; Primates; Galagidae. The record is from RefSeq and is a predicted model, not a curated record. The transcript is spliced from 3 exons.